RNAcentral lists this long non-coding RNA (657 nucleotides) under Equus asinus (donkey). RNAcentral describes it as "lncRNA (ENSEASG00005031918.1)". Lineage: Eukaryota; Metazoa; Chordata; Mammalia; Perissodactyla; Equidae. The record is from RNAcentral.
AUUGUUUUAGUUUUCUUAGAGGAGGAAGCAAAGUUCCGAAAGAGAAGAGAGAAGAGAGGAGGUGUGAAUGCACUAGGCAAGGACAGUCUGAGUGCCUGACUCACCGGAAGUUUCCUAACAUGCAAUUAAAGUGAAACCAGAGUGCGGAUACUGCAGCGGCAACACUGAAUGGGGGAGUAGGAGAGAUGUGGAUUUCCUUAGGCACGUGGUCUUUCCAAACCAUGGAUUGAGAGAGGCAGAGAAGGCUGUGAGCAAGCCCAGCGCUGGACGACUACUUCCUCUGGAGGUGACCUGUUCUUUCUGCCUGGAACCUGUGAGAUUUUCUCAUCAUCCUUGAGGUUCAGGAAUUUCACCAGGUGAAAGAUUCUAGGUUGGCGCAAGGAGAAAUGCCAUGUGUCUCAGCUAUGCCAAGAAAUGAGACUGGAGUAGGCCAGAGCACCUGCCUGAGGAUCCAUCCAGGAAAGAGAACAGGGCAUCUGUAUUAGUCAGAGUUCUCCAGAGAAACAGAACCAAUAAGCGAGAGAGCAAGAUUAUGAAGAAUUGGCUUGUGUAGUUAUAGAGGCUGGCAAGUCCAAAAUCUGCAGGAUGGGUGAGCAGGCUAGAGACCCAGGAGAACUAAGGCUGCAGUUCAAGUCUAAAGGCCAUCAGGUUCAUCAG